Molecule: small nucleolar RNA, 109 nt
Filed under: Sorghum bicolor (sorghum)
Lineage: Eukaryota; Viridiplantae; Streptophyta; Magnoliopsida; Poales; Poaceae
Description: Plant small nucleolar RNA R71
Rfam family: Plant small nucleolar RNA R71
About the family: R71 is a member of the C/D box family of snoRNAs containing the C (UGAUGA) and D (CUGA) box motifs. Multiple nearly identical copies of this snoRNA have been identified in Arabidopsis, and it is thought to function as a 2'-O-ribose methylation guide for 18S ribosomal RNA.
Source: Rfam by way of RNAcentral
AUCCCAUGAUGAGGACAUUCUAGAAUGUAAUCUUGAAAACGCUCCUAGGCUUUUGAGACUGACUCAUCAUUUUAUAGCUGAAAACUUGAAAUUUUCCCAUGCAAAGCAU